GGAGGGGGCUAGCGUUAUUCGGAAUUACUGGGCGUAAAGCGCACGUAGGCGGACCGGAAAGUCAGAGGUGAAAUCCCAGGGCUCAACCUUGGAACUGCCUUUGAAACUCCUGGUCUUGAGGUCGAGAGAGGUGAGUGGAAUUCCGAGUGUAGAGGUGAAAUUCGUAGAUAUUCGGAGGAACACCAGUGGCGAAGGCGGCUCACUGGCUCGAUACUGACGCUGAGGUGCGAAAGCGAGGGGAGCAAACAGGAUUAGAUACCCUGGUAGUCCACGCCGUAAACGAUGAAUGCCAGUCGUCGGGCAGCACGCUGUUCGGUGACACACCUAACGGAUUAAGCAUUCCGCCUGGGGAGUACGGCCGCAAGGUUA
This 369-nucleotide ribosomal RNA is filed under the name uncultured bacterium. Its description in RNAcentral is "bacterial SSU rRNA". It matches the Rfam family "Bacterial small subunit ribosomal RNA", at positions 527 to 896 of the family's 1533-position model. The record is from RNAcentral.